GAUUCUUUAACUUAAAUGGUAAAGUACGUUUUUGAUAAGGAUGUGAUCUAAGUUCAAGUCUUAGAAGAAUCA
RNAcentral lists this transfer RNA (72 nucleotides) under Acanthothecis fontana. RNAcentral describes it as "tRNA-Ile". It matches the Rfam family "tRNA". Rfam says of the family: Transfer RNA (tRNA) molecules are approximately 80 nucleotides in length. The record is from RNAcentral. Lineage: Eukaryota; Fungi; Ascomycota; Lecanoromycetes; Ostropales; Graphidaceae.